This 387-nucleotide ribosomal RNA is filed under the name uncultured bacterium. RNAcentral's name for it is "bacterial SSU rRNA". It matches the Rfam family "Bacterial small subunit ribosomal RNA", at positions 30 to 416 of the family's 1533-position model. The record is from RNAcentral.
AUUGAACGCUGGCGGCAUGCCUUACACAUGCAAGUCGAACGGCAGCACGGGAGCAAUCCUGGUGGCGAGUGGCGAACGGGUGAGUAAUAUAUCGGAACGUGCCCAGUCGUGGGGAUAACGUAGCGAAAGCUACGCUAAUACCGCAUACGAUCUAUGGAUGAAAGCGGGGGAUCGCAAGACCUCGCGCGAUUGGAGCGGCCGAUAUCAGAUUAGGUAGUUGGUGAGGUAAAGGCUCACCAAGCCGACGAUCUGUAGCUGGUCUGAGAGGACGACCAGCCACACUGGGACUGAGACACGGCCCAGACUCCUACGGGAGGCAGCAGUGGGGAAUUUUUGGGACAAUGGGCGCAAGCCUGAUCCAGCAAUGCCGCGUGCAGGAUGAAGGCC